GAUGAUCUCCAAGUAGUUUAUGGUGUUGAUAACAUGUUGGGAAACCAUGUAGUUUAGCACGUACACCCCUCGUGGCCUAAACCAAUCAGUUCAAACGAACCCCCUUCUUGUACUAGCCAAUCACCCCUACCCAACUUGUUCCCACCAUUGAAUGUGCUAAUCAAUGUUAAGAGUUGUUGUUUGAUUUUCCCGAGGUAUGGAAUGAUUUGCUGUGCGAUGUUGUGACGCAUAGAGUAUCCUCCCAAAACCUAUAAAAUCUCACUGAACAAAGGACUGGGACUCACUCCUGGGACCCCUGUGUCGGGAAUGGUCGUGAGUCCAGGCUCAAGCUUGCAAUAAAGACUCUUGUGUGAUUGUAUCGGAUUCGGCUCCUGGAGGUCUAUUGGGGUCCCAUGAAUCUGGCAUAACAAUCCUUGCACAAAUGACACUAAUUCAUUGAGUCCCCAGACUCAUAUAUAUAUAUAAAAAUUAUAUUUCCAAUAUGGUUUGAGCUAGACCCAUCUUGUGUCUUAUGUCUAAAUUCUACAUUGCAUUUUUCUUGUCAAUCUCUUGCUCUAUAGAUGACAAUAUUCUUUUUUUGAGAGAGAGAGAGAGAGUUUUUAAAUUUUUAUUUAUUUUUUUAGUUUUCAGUAGACACAACAUCUUUAUUUUAUUUUUAUGUGGUGCUGAGGAUCAAACCCAGCGCCUUGCGCAUGUCAGGCGUGCGCGAUACCGCUUGAGCCACAUCCUCAGCCCCAACAAUAUUCUUU
This 749-nucleotide long non-coding RNA is filed under the name Marmota monax (woodchuck). The record is from RNAcentral. Lineage: Eukaryota; Metazoa; Chordata; Mammalia; Rodentia; Sciuridae.